Molecule: transfer RNA, 66 nt
Filed under: Thryssa kammalensis (Kammal thryssa)
Lineage: Eukaryota; Metazoa; Chordata; Actinopteri; Clupeiformes; Engraulidae
Also listed under: 1 other name
Description: tRNA-Cys
Rfam family: tRNA
About the family: Transfer RNA (tRNA) molecules are approximately 80 nucleotides in length. Their secondary structure includes four short double-helical elements and three loops (D, anti-codon, and T loops).
Source: RNAcentral
AGCUCUGUGGUGAAGUUCAUGUUGGGUUGCAAACCCAAAGACGCAGGUUAACGCCUGCCGGGGCUU